CGUUAUAUUAAUGUCAACACAAUAUUCGUUUAUCUGUGGUUCACAAUUUGUAGACACAUCAAGUAUCGGAUCUGAAUUUUACAAAUUAGGAUAAUCCAGACAGAAGUCCUCACACUUGUUUAAGAUGGCUACAAUUCCAGUCGUAGUGGUGCUUUGCGCAAUUUUUAUUGCUGAAUUGACAACAGUAGCAACGACAACA
Mytilus trossulus (common blue mussel) is the source of this 199-nucleotide long non-coding RNA. RefSeq lists it as uncharacterized. Lineage: Eukaryota; Metazoa; Mollusca; Bivalvia; Mytilida; Mytilidae. The record is from RefSeq and is a predicted model, not a curated record. The transcript has 3 exons.